RNAcentral lists this ribosomal RNA (500 nucleotides) under uncultured bacterium. RNAcentral describes it as "partial 16S ribosomal RNA". It matches the Rfam family "Bacterial small subunit ribosomal RNA", at positions 30 to 523 of the family's 1533-position model. The record is from RNAcentral.
AUUGAACGCUGGCGGCAUGCCUUACACAUGCAAGUCGAACGGCAGCACGGGAGCAAUCCUGGUGGCGAGUGGCGAACGGGUGAGUAAAGUAUCGGAACGUGCCCAGUCGUGGGGGAUAACGUAGCGAAAGUUACGCUAAUACCGCAUACGAUCUAUGGAUGAAAGCGGGGGAUCGCAAGACCUCGCGCGAUUGGAGCGGCCGAUAUCAGAUUAGGUAGUUGGUGGGGUAAAGGCUCACCAAGCCGACGAUCUGUAGCUGGUCUGAGAGGACGACCAGCCACACUGGGACUGAGACACGGCCCAGACUCCUACGGGAAGCAGCAGUGGGGAAUUUUGGACAAUGGGCGAAAGCCUGAUCCAGCCAUGCCGCGUGCAGGAUGAAGGCCUUCGGGUUGUAAACUGCUUUUGUACGGAACGAAAGGGUUUGGCCUAAUAAGCUGAGCUCAUGACGGUACCGUAAGAAUAAGCACCGGCUAACUACGUGCCAGCAGCCGCCGUAA